AUGGAGGGGGCUCUGACCUGUGUUUUCCUUGUGGCCAUUUUACAAGGUGUGCAGUGUGAGGUGCAGCUGGUGGAGUCUGGGGGAGGCUUGGUGCAGCCUGGGGGGUCCUUGAGACUCUCCUGUGCAGUGUCCGGAUUUACCUUCAGUGGUUAUUGGAUGAACUGGCUCCGACAGGCUCCAGGGAAGGGGCUGGAGUGGAUUUCAUCCAUCGAUGGUAGUAGUAGCACAUACUACCCAGACUCUGUGAAGGGCCGCUUCACCAUCUCCAAAGACAACAGCAAGAGCACACUUUACCUGCAGAUGAACAGCCUGAGAGUGGAGGACACAGCCGUCUAUUACUGUGCUACCGACACAGUGCAGGAAAUCCAGUAUUUUAGGUGA
Molecule: non-coding RNA, 381 nt
Organism: Dipodomys ordii (Ord's kangaroo rat)
Lineage: Eukaryota; Metazoa; Chordata; Mammalia; Rodentia; Heteromyidae
Source: the annotation of a RefSeq genome assembly